GUGUCAGCCGCCGCGGUAAGACGAACCGAGCGAACGUUAUUCGGAAUCACUGGGCUUAAAGGGUGCGUAGGCGGGCUGUCAAGUCUGGGGUGAAAUCCCGCGGCUCAACCGCGGAACUGCCUUAGAUACUGAUGGCCUCGAGGAAGGUAGGGGCAUGCGGAACUGUAGGUGGAGCGGUGAAAUGCGUUGAUAUCUACAGGAACUCCGGUGGCGAAAGCGGCGUGCUGGACCUUUUCUGACGCUGAGGCACGAAAGCUAGGGGAGCAAACGGGAUUAGAAACCCUGGUAGUCC
This 292-nucleotide ribosomal RNA is filed under the name uncultured bacterium. RNAcentral's name for it is "partial 16S ribosomal RNA". It matches the Rfam family "Bacterial small subunit ribosomal RNA", at positions 505 to 796 of the family's 1533-position model. The record is from RNAcentral.